CCUACGGGCGGCAGCAGUGGGGAAUAUUGGACAAUGGGCGAAAGCCUGAUCCAGCCAUGCCGCGUGUGUGAAGAAGGCCUUCGGGUUGUAAAGCACUUUCAGUGGGGAAGAAAGCCUUGGGGCUAAUACCCUCGAGGAAGGACAUCACCCACAGAAGAAGCACCGGCUAACUCCGUGCCAGCAGCCGCGGUAAUACGGAGGGUGCGAGCGUUAAUCGGAAUUACUGGGCGUAAAGCGCGCGUAGGCGGUCUGAUAAGCCGGUUGUGAAAGCCCCGGGCUCAACCUGGGAACGGCAUCCGGAACUGUCAGGCUAGAGUGCAGGAGAGGAAGGUAGAAUUCCCGGUGUAGCGGUGAUAUGCGUAGAGAUCGGGAGGAAUACCAGUGGCGAAGGCGGCCUUCUGGACUGACACUGACGCUGAGGUGCGAAAGCGUGGGUAGCAAACAGGAUUAGAUACCCGAGUAGUC
RNAcentral lists this ribosomal RNA (465 nucleotides) under Vreelandella stevensii. RNAcentral's name for it is "partial 16S ribosomal RNA". It matches the Rfam family "Bacterial small subunit ribosomal RNA", at positions 338 to 795 of the family's 1533-position model. Lineage: Bacteria; Pseudomonadati; Pseudomonadota; Gammaproteobacteria; Oceanospirillales; Halomonadaceae. The record is from RNAcentral.